This 465-nucleotide ribosomal RNA is filed under the name uncultured bacterium. RNAcentral's name for it is "partial 16S ribosomal RNA". It matches the Rfam family "Bacterial small subunit ribosomal RNA", at positions 338 to 795 of the family's 1533-position model. The record is from RNAcentral.
CCUACGGGAGGCAGCAGUGGGGAAUAUUGCGCAAUGGGCGAAAGCCUGACGCAGCGACGCCGCGUGAGGGAUGAAGGUCUUCGGAUCGUAAACCUCUGUCAGCAGGGAAGAACGGUCACUGUACUAAUCAGCAGUGAAUUGACGGUACCUGCAAAGGAAGCACCGGCUAACUCCGUGCCCGCAGCCGCGGUAAUACGGAGGGGGCGAGCGUUGAUGGGAAUUACUGGGCGUAAAGGGGGUGUAGGCGGUUUGGCAAGUCCAGGGUGAAAUCCCCGGGCCCAACGUGGGGACUGCCCUUGAAACUGGGAGACUGGAGUGGGGGAGGGGGAGGCGGAAUUCCAGGGGGAGGGGUGAAAUGCGUAGAUAUCAGGAGGAAAACCGGUGGCGAAGGCGGCCUGCUGGACCCAAACUGACGCUGAGGGACGAAAGCGUGGGUAGCAAACAGGAUUAGAUACCCGUGUAGUC